CGGGCGGCCGCAGCCGGGGGCGCGUUUCCCCGCGGCGGCCGUUGGCGUCGCAGCGCGCCGGGCGAGGACGAGGAGUGCGGCCGGGUCCGGGACUUCGUCGCCAAGCUGGCCAACAACACGCACCAGGACCCAGUAACGCUGUUAGGCCCCAGGAAGGUGAAGGAGUAAUUAACUCUUGAGCGCUUGCAGAAGUUGGGCUGCGCAGAAGCAAAGCAUGUGGUUUGAUGAUCUCAGAGGCUCAGUAUCCUUGUCCUGGGUUGGAGAUAGCACUGGGGUCAUUCUAGUCUUGACUACCUUCCAUGUACCACUGGUAAUUAUGACUUUUGGACAGUCCAAGCUAUAUCGAAGUGAGGAUUAUGGGAAGAACUUUAAGGAUAUUACAAAUCUCAUCAAUAACACCUUUAUUCGGACUGAAUUUGGCAUGGCUAUUGGUCCUGAGAACUCUGGAAAGGUGGUAUUAACAGCAGAGGUGUCUGGAGGAAGUCGUGGAGGAAGAAUCUUCAGAUCAUCAGAUUUUGCAAAGAAUUUUGUGCAAACAGAUCUCCCUUUUCAUCCUCUCACUCAGAUGAUGUAUAGCCCUCAGAAUUCUGAUUAUCUUUUAGCUCUCAGCACUGAAAAUGGCCUGUGGGUGUCCAAGAAUUUUGGGGGAAAAUGGGAAGAAAUCCACAAAGCAGUAUGUUUGGCCAAAUGGGGAUCAGACAACACCAUCUUCUUUACAACCUAUGCAAAUGGCUCCUGCACUGACCUUGGGGCUCUGGAAUUAUGGAGAACUUCAGACUUGGGAAAAAGCUUCAAAACUAUUGGUGUGAAAAUCUACUCAUUUGGUCUUGGGGGACGUUUCCUUUUUGCCUCUGUGAUGGCUGAUAAGAGACUUAAGAAACAAUGAAA
RNAcentral lists this long non-coding RNA (888 nucleotides) under Pan troglodytes (chimpanzee). RNAcentral's name for it is "long non-coding RNA NONPTRT000451". Lineage: Eukaryota; Metazoa; Chordata; Mammalia; Primates; Hominidae. The record is from RNAcentral.